This 517-nucleotide ribosomal RNA is filed under the name endophytic bacterium HPCAQO19. RNAcentral's name for it is "bacterial SSU rRNA". It matches the Rfam family "Bacterial small subunit ribosomal RNA", at positions 838 to 1354 of the family's 1533-position model. The record is from RNAcentral.
CCUUUAGUGUGCAGCAAACGCAUUAAGCACUCCGCCUGGGGAGUACGGUCGCAAGACUGAAACUCAAAGGAAUUGACGGGGGCCCGCACAAGCGGUGGAGCAUGUGGUUUAAUUCGAAGCAACGCGAAGAACCUUACCAGGUCUUGACAUCCUUCGCUACUUCUAGAGAUAGAAGGUUCCCCUUCGGGGGACGAAGUGACAGGUGGUGCAUGGUUGUCGUCAGCUCGUGUCGUGAGAUGUUGGGUUAAGUCCCGCAACGAGCGCAACCCUUGAUCUUAGUUGCCAGCAUUCAGUUGGGCACUUUAAGGUGACUGCCGGUGACAAACCGGAGGAAGGUGGGGAUGACGUCAAAUCAUCAUGCCCCUUAUGACCUGGGCUACACACGUGCUACAAUGGAUGGUACAAAGGGCUGCAAGACUGCGAAGUCAAGCCAAUCCCAUAAAACCAUUCUCAGUUCGGAUUGCAGGCUGCAACUCGCCUGCAUGAAGCCGGAAUCGAUAGUAAUCGCGGAUCAGCA